Molecule: ribosomal RNA, 468 nt
Filed under: uncultured bacterium
Lineage: Bacteria
Description: partial 16S ribosomal RNA
Rfam family: Bacterial small subunit ribosomal RNA
Source: RNAcentral
GACGAACGCUGGCGGCGUGCUUAACACAUGCAAGUCGAACGGAAAGGCCCUGCUUUUGUGGGGUGCUCGAGUGGCGAACGGGUGAGUAACACAUGAGUAACCUGCCCUUGACUUUGGGAUAACUUCAGGAAACUGGGGCUAAUACCGGAUAGGAGCUCCUGCUGCAUGGUGGGGGUUGGAAAGUUUCGGCGGUUGGGGGUGGACUCGCGGCUUAUCAGCUUGUUGGUGGGGUAGUGGCUUACCAAGGCUUUGACGGGUAGCCGGCCUGAGAGGGUGACCGGCCACAUUGGGACUGAGAUACGGCCCAGACUCCUACGGGAGGCAGCAGUGGGGAAUAUUGCACAAUGGGCGGAAGCCUGAUGCAGCAACGCCGCGUGCGGGAUGACGGCCUUCGGGUUGUAAACCGCUUUCGCCUGUGACGAAGCGUGAGUGACGGUAAUGGGUAAAGAAGCACCGGCUAACUACGUG